CCCCUACUGGUCCAGUGAUUAGGACUCUGAGCUUCCACUGCAGGAAGCCCAGGUUUGAUCCCUGGUGGGGGA
RNAcentral lists this transfer RNA (72 nucleotides) under Bos taurus (domestic cattle). It matches the Rfam family "tRNA". From Rfam's summary of the family: Transfer RNA (tRNA) molecules are approximately 80 nucleotides in length. Their secondary structure includes four short double-helical elements and three loops (D, anti-codon, and T loops). Further hydrogen bonds mediate the characteristic L-shaped molecular structure. tRNAs have two regions of fundamental functional importance: the anti-codon, which is responsible for specific mRNA codon recognition, and the 3' end, to which the tRNAs corresponding amino acid is attached (by aminoacyl-tRNA synthetases). tRNAs cope with the degeneracy of the genetic code in two manners: having more than one tRNA (with a specific anti-codon) for a particular amino acid; and 'wobble' base-pairing, i.e. permitting non-standard base-pairing at the 3rd anti-codon position. RNAcentral also lists the same sequence under 4 other names. The record is from Rfam by way of RNAcentral. Lineage: Eukaryota; Metazoa; Chordata; Mammalia; Artiodactyla; Bovidae.